This 240-nucleotide unclassified non-coding RNA is filed under the name soil metagenome. Its description in RNAcentral is "partial contains 5.8S ribosomal RNA, internal transcribed spacer 2, and large subunit ribosomal RNA". The record is from RNAcentral.
AACGCACGAGACCUGCGGACCUGCGGAAGGAUCAUCAUUGAAAACAAAUUUGAACAGGAGUGUUUGUUUUGAGAGGGGAGGGGGACAAGAAAACUCUGCAUUUCUGCCGCCCGAACCUUGAGAGCUGCCUCCUGUACAAACAACCAAUCUACAUGACUAGGAAACACACACACACACACACACACACACACAAGUUCUUGUCUGACAAGUUGCUUGCUGAUUUGGAGCAGAUAACAAUAA